GCUUCCCUAGCCCAGUUGGUAGAGCAACGCACUCGUAAUGCGUAGGUCGUGGGUUCGAGUCCCAUGGGGAGCU
RNAcentral lists this transfer RNA (73 nucleotides) under Bacillota bacterium. RNAcentral's name for it is "tRNA-Thr". It matches the Rfam family "tRNA". From Rfam's summary of the family: Transfer RNA (tRNA) molecules are approximately 80 nucleotides in length. Their secondary structure includes four short double-helical elements and three loops (D, anti-codon, and T loops). RNAcentral also lists the same sequence under 1 other name. The record is from RNAcentral. Lineage: Bacteria; Bacillati; Bacillota.